Molecule: long non-coding RNA, 10323 nt
Filed under: Ananas comosus (pineapple)
Lineage: Eukaryota; Viridiplantae; Streptophyta; Magnoliopsida; Poales; Bromeliaceae
Description: long non-coding RNA (ACOM_LNC030228)
Source: RNAcentral
CAUCGGAUGGGAAUGGGGUUGUCAUUGGGUUUAUAAAGAGACUUAGACACUAGUAAUAAUAACUGGGCUUGAGCAUUUUGGGCCGGUGGUUGGGCUUAACGAGUUAUUAUUGCUAGUGGGCUGGGUCGUUACAUUUGGUAUCAGAGCUGGUUCACCAGCUGGACAUGUGUGGCGAGUCUCGACUGAGCUAGGGCCUGGAUGACGGGCUAGCGAGACGAGUCUCACAUCGCCUGGUGAUCUUGGGCUGUGUGUGUGAUUGGACUGACGAGGACGUCAGGGCCUUAACGGGGGGAGUCUGUGACACCCCAAUAGUCCCACAUCGGAUGGGAAUGGGGUUGUCAUUGGGUUUAUAAGAGACUUAGAUACUAGUAAUAAUAACUGGGCUUAAGCAUUUUGGGCCGGUUGUUGGGCCCAACGAGUUAUUGUUGCUAGUGAGCUGGGUCGUUACAACUCAAGCUUCUUCCCAAGCUUAGAACGAAGAAGAUGAUGGCUUGACCUCCAAGCUACUCCUCUUCAACUUAAUCUUCUCCAACUUCACCUCUUUAAUGGAGAAAUUGCUAGAGAGAGAAAGCUAGCGGAGAGGAUUUGAGAGAAGAGAGAGAAAGAGAAAGAGAAGCCUCCUCUAAGCUUCUCUCGGGUCGGACAAAACCAGGGAGAGAGUUGUGUGGGUUCACAUAUAUAUAUAGACCCCCCAAACAGUAUUACAACUUUCAAUUUAGCAGUUCAGAAUCUGAUACUUUUCGCCGGAGCCUUUCUGAAUGUCCGUUUGUUCUCAAAUUUGACAGUCAGGCUCGGUUUAACUUAACAAGAAGAACGAAAUUUUAAUCUUUCAGUUUUGACCAUUUUUUGUCACCGAAAGCUCUACCGACUAAAAUCUCUAACAGAUAGCAGUCAUAUUUUAUUUUUCACUUUCCAGGUGUCGGAAUGACAUAAAACUUUAAAUCUAACCUCAUAAAAAUAAUUUCGACAUAUUCUCUAAUUUUCAUAAUUUUCUAACACUGUGAAUUCUCUGCUAAAAUAUCAGUCCCGCCUCUUACAGAAAAUUCUAAAUCUUCUAUUUCCAUUCUAAUUUUAGCACAAGUCAUUUCUGACUUACAUUUUACUUCUUCAAGUCCAAUAAAAAAUAGUAUCUCACACUAUUUUUAUUUAUAUUUAUUUUUAUAUUAAAAUUCGGUACAUUACAUUCCACCCUUCUAAAAAAAAGUUUCGUCCUUAAAACUUAAACCACUCCUCAACUCCAUUUCUCGAGUAAUUGAGGGUACCAACACAUUGUCCCACUCCAGAGCGGCUUCACACUAUUGUGGUUACUUAAGCGGCUCAUACUGAAGAAUGUAGGUUCAAUCACAAACACACUUACGGAAUGUGAUACAAGAAGUGCAUUACGGGUCCUGCAAGUCUCGAUGGCAGCGCGAGUCAAUACCCAACGACUCUACACGCUCCAACACCGCUCGCCACCCAGCACACGAAGGACUCAUCCCUCGAACACUCUACUGAACACCAUUUUCUUUUGAGAUCAGGACUACCCCCCAUCCUCAUGGUGUGGAUCUAGCAAAAGACAUCAACUAGCCGAAUGGUCCACCACCACGACGCAAUACGUACGGGUAGGCCUCCUCGAACCACUCAAGUGUUCACAAAGUGGCACUCCACCACUCCGGCCAUCCAAGAGUUUGGUAUAACUCUUCCUUGCAUUCCUCGUCCCUUCAAGGAACACACUCCGAUUCGAUCACCGGCAUUGCUUAGAAGCAAUAUCAAGGGUGCAUCGUUCCAUCGCGAGUGUUCCAAUCGGAACCGGAUCCUUGCUCUACUACAAGAUGGCGUACUCCGGCACAUUUCCAAUCUCAAUCCUCAAAAGAGCAUUAGUCCUCAAACUCCGCGUGGCUAUUCAUUAUUCAAAUGUCUCCUAGAGACCACUUUACUUUUUUUUUCCAUUGCCACGGCCAACGUCAAUUCGUUCUUACAACGAGCUCACACGAACACUCUGUUCGUGAAUCCAAGCCAAACUCCUUGACAGAGUUUUCUGCCAAACCGCUUAUCUCGGUUUCCACAGUGGAACACAGGCCACCAGCCCUACAUAGGCCCACCGCCGAAACUUGUCUCAACUACGCAUGGCAUCUCUCGCUCGCAAGCGUAGACCCAAACAUCACUGGGCGAAAUUCUCAUUCGAGAAUUUGCACACACUCCAACCAGGAGCAACCAUGACCCCAAACCACGUCAUAUCCUCGGGUUGGGUCACCACCGCAUCUACAGUGUAUUAUCGAUAACACGAUCCAUCACGUGGCAUUCCAUGCUCCCGGGUCUAAGCUCGGACUACCGCCCCAACCAAAAUCUCUACCCUACCCGUAGGUACCAGGCCGUUGUUUCACACAGCUGACUGCGCCUGCCCAAAGGCCCCGGGCUCCACAGCCCACAAUAGGUCCAGGCACGGAUCGUCCCCAAACAAUACCUGCCAUCGUCGUCCUACUCGACAUGCUCUACCGAGCCAUACAUACUGCUAUCGGCUCCUAAGCACCUAGUGCAAGCCACCUGUCCUACAAAUAAUCCAUACCGCGUAAUGAUCAAUUUGUUAAAAAGUAUUUCAAAUAAGAACGAACUGUUAUGAUCAAUCUUUUAAAAAACAGCAUUCCUGUCCAUCUAUUUUAUAAUAAAACUUAAAAUUGAAUAUAAAUCGUGAAUUAGAUUUAAUUUUUGAUACCUAAUUUGAAUUAACAAUCAAAAAUUUUAAUUAUAUAAUGGAUCAAAAUUAAAUUUUAAAUUUUGAAAUAAAUGUCAAUUAAAUUUUGUUGAUUUUAGUUAAAAACAAAUACUUAAAUCUUAGAUUAAUCAUAAAUCAAAAAAUAUAUAAAAAUAUUUAAUGUAUAUUAAAAAGAACAGUAUAGAAUAUUGCAAAUAUUUUUUAAUAAACUAUAACACAUAAAUUUAUAAAUUAUAAUUUUUAUUAUAAAUUUUUAAAUAAAUUAAAAUAAUUAUUACGUGUAUUUGUACGUACAUUCAACUAAUAUAUAUACGUGAGUAGAGCUACUGUGCUGUUAGUAGCACAACAACUAUUAUACUCCUAAGUUCAUAACUACCUAUAAAUUUUUAUGGAUAGUUAGGGUUGAUAUCUCAUUUCUUUCAUUUCUUUCUCAAUUUCUCUUCUUUUUUAAUUUCUCCCCAAUUUUUUUUUUGUCUCUCACCUUAACCACCCAUCAAAAUUGAUGAAUGGUUACGAACUUAUAGAUUAUUGGGAAAAUCUUUCUCUUUUUAUUCUCAGAUAUCUUCACUUUAGCUAGGCACGUUGUAGUGUCCCUGGUGUUCUGUAGCUCGUGUGUUUCAGCAUUUGAGGCUUGUCGAUACAUCUGGAGAGUGUCGAGACAAGUCGUAGUCGUUUUGGGCAAAUUGGACACAAAACGGACUCAGUGCGAUGCGAGAGCAGAGUUUUGACAUUGGAAUCUACAAAGUGCAAGAUUUCAGUAUUGAGCACCGGUACCAAGGAGAGGAGUACCGGUACCCCAGUGGAAUUCCAGAACUGAUGCUCUCGGGUUGCGCCAAUCUGAUGCCAAGUACUGGUACUGCAUCGGGCUGGUACCGAUACCCUGUGUGCGAGCUUUGUGGGUUGAAAGGCCGAGUACCGGUAACCAAGUUGGGUACCAGUACUCCAGCUGGAUUUUUGAGUUUGUGAGGGGCCUUUUGGUUAUUUGAGGCGUCGUUAAUCCCAACCUUACCCCAGCUCUUUAUAUAUGUGUAAAGAGGCAGAGAAGAGGUUUUCGGUUGCUGCUCUCUCUCUCUUCUCUCUUUAGUAAUGGACGUGCUCGUGGUGGGGAUCGGGGAUCGAGCUCGGGUAGAUUUCGACGUUAAUCCGGAGGGCCGUUCGAGCGUGCGUGUGUCGCGGUUGCGUCGUUGGAGACCGGGCGAGUGCAUGUUUUUCCUUUUUUCAACUACUCGCCGUUGUUGGACGAGCUUUCCGAGAUGGGUUGAAGUUUACCGAAAUCGUCGGAUUUCCUCCUAAGCUGAAUGGUGUUAGCAUGUGUUUUUCAUGUGUAGAAUUAUGUUUAAAUAGCUCAAUUCAUGGAUUUGUAUAGAUUGUAUAGAAUCUGAAUUUAGAGCUUAGAAUAAUUCUAUAUGUUGAACUUGGAAUUGACUUAGGAGAAAACUAUUGAACCCAACACUGUCACUUUUAUGAAAAUUAUCAGAUUUAGCUUUAGGAGUUGUGGUUUGUUUGUAUUGUCGCUGUUCGUAUGCGGUGGACACCCAGAUUAGUGUAGGAUGAGUUUACGCUCGUGCUGGGAUGCCGAGCUUAUUUUACAGUAGUGUGUAGACUGUUUUGGACUGUCGGGUGCCGUCGCUGUUGACGGUGGACCCAGAUUUCUGUAUUUUGCAUCAGAUUGUGCCAAGAGCACGUGAGCUUUGGUCGUUAGACCAGUUAGACCCAUUUGCAUUGACUAUAACCCGUGAGAGCCUGAUUGAGCUCGACAGAGAUACGCUUGCAUACUCGGUUGGGUCGCGCCCACGACUGCCGCUCCGAAGUCUAGCUUUUUGCUUUGCGUUGAUGUCGUUGUUGUCUGGUUUGGACUUGCUCUCCACCGGCAGCCCUCAGGGUGGUGUUCGGUGUAGCUUCGACAGGCGGGACGGGUGUAUUCACAGUCCCUAGUGAGAUUGGAUCUGAAAUUACAUUUCUAUAUCUACAGAAUAGUGGUUAGCAAUAGUAUAGUGACAUGUAGCUGUAGAGUUUUUACCAGCUUCCUUUAUUAUCCUUGUGCAUAAUUUCUGUAGACUUAGUGGAUGAGCCGUUGAGGUCGGUAGCGGUAUGCUGCUGACGCUGUUUUUGAUCGGGAAAGGAAGUCACGAGCUAGAUCCCUUCCAGCCUUGUUCUCGUGCUAGAGGAGUACCUUCCACAGGUAGUUUUGGAGUAUUUUUGUACAUAUGGUUAUGUCGGGGUACUCGCUGGAGCGAGCUUUGUUGUGGACAUUUUGUACGUUGGCUAAUUAAUUAGAGGAUUGCAUGGCCCUUAAUUUUGGUCACAUCCGGCUUCAUUAACUUGGCCACAUAUAUAUAGGGCAUGGCUUUGAAUUAGUGUCUAAUUGGAACUCUAAUCUAAUUGGAUUUCUAAACACAAGUCUAAUCUAUUCAAUUUGAAAUUAGAUUCCGACUCAUAAUCCAUAUAUGCCAAAUUAUAUCCAAUCUCAAUUAGAUUAGGAUUUAACUCCAAUUUAGGUAACUACAAAUCUAAACCAAAUAUAACAAUCUCCACCUUGGUUUAAUUUGUAGUUUAGCCGCCGCUAUAUCGAGGUCGCCACAAAACUCCACCUUGAAUUUAAUUCGCCUCAAUACUCCUUAAUGCUCCGUGUUCCGUCUUCUCCAAUCGCCCCAUAGGGCCUCAAAUGCUGCUAAUUGCAACCAAGUCCAAACAAUGCUUGAACUUGGCAAUAGUAAGAGACUUAGUAACCAUAUCCGCCGGACUGUCCUCAGUACCAAUUUUCUUAACAGUCAUUGUGCACUUCCCAAUCACAUCCCGAACAAACUGAAAUUUUACAUCGAUGUGCUUUGUUCUCUCAUGAAACAUCUGAUAUUUCGACAAAUGAAUAGCACUUUGACUGUCUGAAUAAACAAUCGUCGGAUCCCAACAAAAAGUAAACUCUCCAAUUAAGCCUCUUAGCCAUAUAGCUUACUUCACACCCUCUGUCAUAGCAAUAUAUUCCGCCUCCGUCGUAGACAAGGCGACAAUAGGUUGUAGUGAAGCUUUCCAACUAACUGCACAUCCGCCAAUAGAGAAUAUAUAACCUGAAAGUGAUCUCCUCCUAUCCAAAUCACCUAUAAAAUUCGAAUCAACAUAUUUAACCACACCAUCCUUAUACCUCCCAAACUCCAAACAAGUGCUAGUGGUACCUCGUAAGUAUCUCAAAAUCCACUUAAUAGCUUGCCAAUGAGCCUUACCAAGAUUGGUCAUAUAUCUGCUAGCCAUGCUCACUGCGUAGGAGAAGUCCGACCGUGUGCAAAUCAUAGCGUACAUGAUGCUCCCGACGGUACUAGAAUAAGGAACAUGUGAUAUGUACCCCUGCUCAUCAUCGGACUGCGGUGAUAACUAAGCGGAAAGUCUGAAAUGCACAACAAAAGGAGUGCUCACUGGUUUUGCAUCUGUCAUCCCGAAACGCUUUAAAAUCUUCUCUAUAUAUUUUUCUUGUGUCAAAUGCAGUAGUCUUGACUUGUUGUCCCUCUUUAUUUCCAUACCAAAGAUUUUCUUAGUAGCACCUAGAUCUUUCAUCUCAAACUCAUCCUUAAGUAAAGCCUUCAAUUUAUUUAUCUCAACUAUGUUAUUAGAAGCAAUUAACAUAUCAUCAACAUAGAGCAACAAAUAUAUGAAAGAUCACUUAUCAAGCUUUCUGAAAUAUAUGCAACUGUCAUGCUUGCUGCUGGAGUAUCCGUGACCUGUCAUGAAGGAGUCGAACCGCUUGUACCAUUGUCAAGGAGACUGUUUUAAGCUAUAAAGCGAUUUCUUUAACAGGCAAACAUGGUCCUUCUUUUCUUCAACAAUGAAUACCUUCAGCUGUUUCAUAUAAAUUUGCUCCUUAAGUUCUCCAUGCAGAAAACCUGUCUUAACAUCAAGUUACUCAAAAUACAGGUCAUUCAUGGUUACUAACGAUAAAAGAAUACGAAUAGAAGUAUGCUUUACGACGGGUGAGAAAAUAUCAUUAAAGUCAACACCUUCUACCUGACUGUAGCCCUUAGCAACUAAACGAGUUUUAUACCUUGUAUCUUCCACGCCGAGGAUUCCGUCCUUUUUCUUGUAGACCAAUUUCCAACUAACAAUUUUCUUGCCUGUAGACGGUUUUACAAACUCCCAUGUGCGAUUCUUAUUGAGAGACUCCAUAUUCUCAUUCAUCACCACCAACCACUCUGCAAAACUGGCACCACAAAUAGCUUGAUUAUAUGUGGAAGGUUCACAUUCUUUUUCUGUAUCUUAUGCCACUCAAAAAGCGUAGCAAUUAUAUUUUCAUAACUGUAUCUCUGCGGUGGUUUGAUCUGUCUCCUCGCUCUGCUUGUAGCAAUGCUCUACCUCUCAACUUGUGGGGUUUCAGUUACUGAGGUGUCUGCUGACUGAAUUUAUUCUGACUUAGAAGAAUCCGGCGACUGAACUAUACCAUUGGUCUCUACCUCCACCUGCUUGCUAGCACUCGGGAUCUCAUCAAAAGAAUUACGGUUAGAAUAUAAUAUAGCAGAUUCAUCAAAUGUGACAUCCCUACUAAUAAUUAAUUUAGACGAUUCAGGACACCACAAUCUAUAUCCCUUAACCCCCGAUGCAUAACCAAUAUAAAUGCACUUUUUAGCCCUAGGUUCUAACUUGCCUUCAUUGACAUGAACAUAAGUAGGACAACCAAAUAUUCGCAAAUUAGAAUAAUCAGAAGGGCUGCCAGACCAUAGCUCCUAAGGAGUUUUGCAAUCAAGUGCUGAAUAUGGAGAUUGAUUCACCAAAUAGCAUGUCGUAGAGAUCGCCUCUGCCUAGAGAGCAUACAACGAGCUCUCUCUAAAGGAGUUCUAUUCAUCUGUUCGGCCACCCCGUUCUGUUGUGGAGUAUGCCUAAUGGUCUUAUGUCUAACGAUUCCUUCCUUCUUGCAAAAUUCUUCAAACUCUGAUGAACAAAAUUCCAAACCGUUGUCGGUCCUUAAUCUCUUGAUCUUCUUUCCAUUUUGCUUCUCAAUUAUGACCUUCCACUGUUUAAAAUAAUUGAACACAUCAUCCUUACUUUUCAGAAAGAACGCCCACACUUUACGAGAAUAGUUGUCAAUAAAAGUCAACAUAUAUCUAGCACCACCAUGAGUAGGAGUAUGAGAGGGUCUUCAAAGAUCAGAAUGAAUAUAGUCUAGAGUACCUUUUGUCCAGUGAAUUGCGGCCUUAAAGCUGACUCUCUUUUGUUUGCGAAGAACACAAUGCUCGCAGAAAUCUAACUUUUCUAAACUCUGACUAUCAAGUAGACCUCUCUCACUCAACUUCAUCGUACCAUAUUCACUCAUAUAGCCCAGUCGCAUAUGCCAUAAUCUGGUGCUAUCAAAAUCUGACAUAGAGGAAUAAGUCACCGCUGCCGAGCCCGUCACAGUGGAACACUGUAGAACAUAUAACAUGUCGGACAACUUGGCUUUCAUCACUACAAAAUUUUCUUAAACCGACCUUCAUUAAUCCAUCAGCUGAAGAAUACUUAAAGCCUUUAGCAUCAAGCAUACCGAAUGAGAUCAGAUUUUUUUCUCAUAUCUGGAACAUGCCGAACCUUAGAUAUAGUCAUCACUACUCCGUCGAACAUCUGUACCCGAACAGUGCCAAUUCCAAAACUGUACACUUAGAGUAAUUUCCCAUCAAUAUAUCUCCACCUUCAAUAGGCUUGUACGUCGAGAAUCAUUCUCUAUGCGUGCAAAUAUGGAAAGAGCACGCAGAGUUCAUAAGCCACUCAUUCUGUCUACGUGUCUUAUCUGUAACUGUGAAGAUGAUAUCAUUUUUAUUUGAUUCUCCUGCUGCAACACUUGCUUCUGCUUCAGUAUUGAUGUUUUUCUAAUCUUGAUUUUUAUCACCAUUAUUCUUUCGCUGCUCUUUAUGUUUCAACUUGAAACAAUUAGCUUUUAUGUGACCCUUCUUCUUACAAUAAUCACAAAUCAGAUUUCUGUGUUUUGACUUAGAUCUAGAUGUAUCUGUAUUACCGAAACCCUUCUCUCGAGACCUCCCUCUAGCGACCAAAUCUUGUCCUAAAACUCCACCUGUCUCGUUACUUAUCUGCAUGUCAAUUUUCUCUUUUAAAAGUAAAAAGGAUUUAACAUCAUUGAGACAUAGAAUAUCUCGUCCAAAUAAGAAGGUCUCACGAAAAUUCUUAUAAGAGGGCGGUAGAGAACAUAAUAAUAAAAUUAAAAGCUUCAUCUUCCUCCUCGAUUUUAACAUCUAUCGAGUGGAGAUCCAUAACAAUAGAAUUAAAUUCAUCUAAAUGCGACUUAAUAGAGAUACCUUCCGCCAUGCGCAACAUGAAGAGACGUUGCUUCAAAUAUAACUUGUUGGUGAAAGACUUCGUCAUGUAGAGAGACUCCAAUUUAAGCCAAAGCCCUGCAGCGGUUUUUCAUCUAAGAGCUCGCGCAAUACCUCAUCGGACUUCUGAAUCUCAAAUUUCGUCGUCAUCUUAAUUCUCAAAGUGAAUAGAAAGGCUCUGAUACCAGUUUGUAAAAAUCAGAACGGCGAAAAAUAAAUUUAGAAAAUAACUUAAUGUAGGAAAAGAAAAGAAAAGGAAAGAGCACACCGAUAUUUAUGUGGUUCGACCAACAGUCUAUAUCCACGAACGAAGACGGAGCAAAUAAUUUAUUAAUAUCGAAAGGUGGAGUACAAAGAAUAUCGCUCAAAGAAUCUCAUAAUCCAAAUAAAUAAAUCGACGCGCAUAUGCAUAUAGCAUCUCUAAUUUACCACGUCCGUACAAUGAGAUCCUUUGGCUCGGCACCUUGGUUGACUUAAUUAAUUGAGGAACACUAAAAAGAAAAGCAACAACGACUAAUUAAUUAGAGGAUUGCAUAACCCUUAAUUUUUGGUCGCACCGGCUUCAUUAAUUUGGCCACGUAUAUAUAGGGCAUGGCUUUGAAUUAGAGUUUAAUUGGAACUCUAAUCUAAUUGAAUUUCUAAACACAAGUCUAAUCUAAUUCAAUUUGAAAUUAGAUUCCGACUCAUAAUCCAUAUAUGCCAAAUAAUAUCUAAUCCCAAUUAGAUUAGGAUUUAACUUCAAUUUAGGUAACUACAAGUCUAAACCAAAUAUAACCGAAUUUUUUCGGAAUUUCUUUAAAACUUAAAUUAAACUUUCGAAUUAUUUUACGCAAUAUUUUAAUAAAAGGUCAAAAAGAUUUUACUGUGCUCCUAACAGCACUGUGGCUCUACUUAUAUAUAUUGUAGAACUUGUGCGCUAUAACCAACAUAGAGACCUUAUUGCUUGCUUUUAAGUCGUUUUCGAUGAUUGAAUUUUCGAAUCAAUGAUUAGCUCAAGAUCAUGAGGCGACAUGAGACUUGUCUCGCUAGCUUUUGUCAUUCCGAUCCUAAUUUAGCCUGUUAAUCACCGACCCUAAUUUAGUAUGCCAUUCCAACCCUGGCUCAGCCAAGACUCAUCUCAUACUUCCGGCUGGUUAACUAGCUCUGAUACCAAAUGUAACGGCCCAGCCCACUAGUAAUAAUAACUGGUUCGGCCCAAACGCCGGCUCAAAAUGCUUAAGCACAGUUAUUAUUACUAGUGUUUAAAUCUCUUAUAUACUCAAUCACAUCUCUAUUUUUAUCUGAUGUGAAAUUAUUGGAAUGUGACAAGAAGUAGGAGAUCUUACUUGAUACUUCUAAUUUUAUUAU